Molecule: ribosomal RNA, 440 nt
Filed under: uncultured bacterium
Lineage: Bacteria
Description: partial 16S ribosomal RNA
Rfam family: Bacterial small subunit ribosomal RNA
Source: RNAcentral
CCUACGGGAGGCAGCAGUAGGGAAUAUUGCACAAUGGGGGAAACCCUGAAGCAGCAACGCCGCGUGGAGGAUGAAGGUUUUCGGAUUGUAAACCCCUUUUGUCAGAGAAGAUAAUGACGGUAUCUAACGAAAAAGCACCGGCUAACUCCGUUCCAGCCGCCGCGGUAAUAAGGUGGGUGACAGGGUUACUCGGAAUCACUGGGCGUAAAGAGCGCGUAGGCGGGAUAGCAAGUCAGAUGUGAAAUCCUAUGGCUUAACCAUAGAACUGCAUUGGAAACUGUUCUGCUAGAGUAUGGGAGAGGUAAGUGGAAUUCUUGGUGUAGAGGUAAAAUGCGUAGAGAUCAGGAGGAAUACUCAUUGCGAAGGCGACCUGCUAGACCAUAACUGACGCUGAGGCGCGAAAGCGUGGGGAGCAAACAGGAUUAGAUACCCCUGUAGUC